RNAcentral lists this unclassified non-coding RNA (342 nucleotides) under Zea mays. RNAcentral describes it as "misc RNA Zm00001eb267330". The record is from RNAcentral. Lineage: Eukaryota; Viridiplantae; Streptophyta; Magnoliopsida; Poales; Poaceae.
UUGUUCCUGCGCAGGGAUGCCAACAAGCAGAAGGGGCCGGCGAGGGAGCAGUGGCACAGACGACCGUCGGUUGUGGAAGUAGGAGGUCAACGGGCGGCGUCGAGAUCACCGGCGAGCGCGGUGAUAGAUGGCGGUGUCAGACGGUGGCAAUCAGAGAAGCAGUGGGGCAGCACAACAGCAAGGAAUUUCAGUAGCGGCAUCGGGGCACGAGGCAGAGCCGAGUCAGAGCGAGAAAUCAACUGUGGCGCGAUAGGAAACUACGGGGCGUACUUGCCAAUGGCAGAAGGGCACGGAGGAGCCCAGACGACGGCGAAAAUGGCGAGCGACUGUGCAGCAGCCUGA